GUAGGGAAUCUUCCACAAUGGACGAAAGUCUGAUGGAGCAACGCCGCGUGAGUGAAGAAGGUUCUCGGAUCGUAAAACUCUGUUGUGAGGGAAGAACAAGUACCGGAGUAACUGCCGGUACCUUGACGGUACCUCAUUAGAAAGCCACGGCUAACUACGUGCCAGCAGCCGCGGUAAUACGUAGGUGGCAAGCGUUGUCCGGAAUCAUUGGGCGUAAAGCGCGCGCAGGCGGUCCCUUAAGUCUGAUGUGAAAGCCCACGGCUCAACCGUGGAGGGUCAUUGGAAACUGGGGGACUUGAGUGCAGAAGAGGAAAGCGGAAUUCCAAGUGUAGCGGUGAAAUGCGUAGAGAUUUGGAGGAACACCAGUGGCGAAGGCGGCUUUCUGGUCUGUAACUGACGCUGAGGCGCGAAAGCGUGGGGAGCAAACAGG
This 430-nucleotide ribosomal RNA is filed under the name uncultured bacterium. RNAcentral's name for it is "bacterial SSU rRNA". It matches the Rfam family "Bacterial small subunit ribosomal RNA", at positions 354 to 776 of the family's 1533-position model. The record is from RNAcentral.